This 286-nucleotide RNase P RNA is filed under the name Gammaproteobacteria bacterium. Its description in RNAcentral is "partial RNase P RNA component class A". It matches the Rfam family "Bacterial RNase P class A", at positions 1 to 292 of the family's 367-position model. Rfam says of the family: Ribonuclease P (RNase P) is a ubiquitous endoribonuclease, found in archaea, bacteria and eukarya as well as chloroplasts and mitochondria. Its best characterised activity is the generation of mature 5'-ends of tRNAs by cleaving the 5'-leader elements of precursor-tRNAs. The record is from RNAcentral. Lineage: Bacteria; Pseudomonadati; Pseudomonadota; Gammaproteobacteria.
UGGAGUGGGUGCAUGAUCGCUGGUCCGCCCUGAGCGGAACAGAGGAAAGUCCGAACUUCACAGGGCAGGGUGGUUCGUAACGCGAACUCCGGGUGACCGGGGGAAAGUGCCACAGAAAACAUACCGCCCCGUUUGUCGGGGUAAGGGUGAAAAGGCGAGGUAAGAGCUCACCGCUUUCAUGGUGACAUGGAAGGCAGGGUAAACCCCACCAGAAGCAAGAUCAAAUAGGGAAACGUUUGAGGGCUGCCCGUCCGAUGUUUCCGGGUAGAUUGCUGGAGGUGCCGGG